This 78-nucleotide transfer RNA is filed under the name Sphaerobolus stellatus SS14. RNAcentral's name for it is "tRNA-Val (TAC) (tRNA-Val-TAC-5-1)". Lineage: Eukaryota; Fungi; Basidiomycota; Agaricomycetes; Geastrales; Sphaerobolaceae. The record is from RNAcentral.
GCAGUGGUGUAAUGGUAUCAUGCUGCAAUGUUACUUACUAUGAUUAUUAAGCUAUGGGUUCAAUUCCCACUAGGUACA